RNAcentral lists this long non-coding RNA (1232 nucleotides) under Pongo abelii (Sumatran orangutan). RNAcentral describes it as "lncRNA (ENSPPYG00000032907.1)". The record is from RNAcentral. Lineage: Eukaryota; Metazoa; Chordata; Mammalia; Primates; Hominidae.
AUGGAGGGGGCCCUUUGUGGCGGAAGGGGUCCCUGGAAACAAUUCUGGCACAGAACCUGCCCUGCAGGCUAUAGGGUGCAUGGAGCUGAGGGGCAUCCGAACGCGUUGCGGGUGGUUGUGAGGAGGCCUGUCUGCAUCUCCUUCUGGCCCCACUGGGGUCCAGGGGUGCCAAGAAAGGAGCUUCCCCUGCCUGCCUGCCUGAGUCUGUCCCCGCAGGCUUCAUUUCAAACACCGUGGCACCUCCGAGCAAGGAGGGCCGUGUGUAAAAGCUUGCUUCCCCAGCCAGCACUGCAGGGCCCUGAGGUGGUCAUGUCCCUGCCCUCAAUUCUUGAAGCACCAGCUCCCUGCCCCACCCUCCAGUGCCUGGGGCAGCCGGGGGCUUCUGCUCUCAUCUCUGACCAGCAGAAUCCACCCGGUGACCAGUGGUGGCCCCUCAGCCCACCCUCCCGGCAGCUCAGCCUGUGGCUCUUGAGGCUGUGGUUCCCACGUGGACUGGGAGGCAGUCUCACAGCCACCCGGGGUGCUGUUCAGCUGCCCCUCCCUGCCAUCAGCAGGGGCCCAGGCUGCCAUCACUGGAGGCUGCAGGGACCAAGAGGCCAUCACCAUGUCUAUAGACAGCAGACAGAAGCAGAAAGAGCCGGGGGCUCCGGAGCCUCUGUAUGUGCCCUCCCAGCCCACACCGGUGCUCUCGACCACUGAGCACCCAGACUCAGGCUUGGGUUCCCCAGCCUUAUUGGAAGGCAGCUCCCGCAUACCAGGGUAACCCCUGCAAACCACAUAGCAGACCCCCGCCAUCCUCACACAGUGGGAGAGGCUGCAGCAAGGCUUUGCCUCUGCAGACCCCAUCUUAGUGGCACAGUGCUUGGGCCUGUGUCCCCGGGUGGUGGAACCCUGUACCGGUCUGUGGCCCUAGGGGCCCCGCUCUGCGGUCUGCCCCGGCCCAUGCCGUCCGCUGGGCUAGGCAGGCUCCCCCGUGCCCUGCCUCCCUCUGUCAGGGAACCUGGGACCCCCUCCCCACUGCCUGCACAGAGGACCCUGACCCUCGGCCAGCAGGGUGGCCCCAGGUCCAUGUUGGGCACUAGGGCAGGUUCCGUGCCAGAGUCAGGGGCCACAUGAGGGCCUGGUGCCGGUGAGGGGGGUGUGCGCUAGAGGGGGAAAGGGGCCCCCGGCCACCUGUCCACCAUGUGGGCCGUGCUGUGUCCUAUGUCAUUGUAAUAUAAAUACAGAUUUUU